This 1051-nucleotide long non-coding RNA is filed under the name Callithrix jacchus (white-tufted-ear marmoset). Its description in RNAcentral is "lncRNA (ENSCJAG00000083866.1)". Lineage: Eukaryota; Metazoa; Chordata; Mammalia; Primates; Cebidae. The record is from RNAcentral.
GGGGCUAUUAUGAAUAAUGUUCCAUGGACAUGCGUGUAUGAGUUUUUCUGUAAACACAUACUUUCAACUCUUCUGUGUGGAGACCUAGUUGAGGAGUUGAUGGGUCUGUUGGGAAUUCUGUCUAAGUUUUUGAGGAAUAGCCAGAUUGUUUCCACAGAUGCUGCCCUAUUUAACAUCUCAACAGUAAUGUAUGGGGGUUACCAAUGGCUGUUUUCCUGGUUUUUGUUUUUCUAUUUUAAAAUUUUUUUUUUUUUUUUUAAGCAUGUCUGAAAACCCAUCAUCACGCGGUUAGUAAUACAAGACACAUCCCUUGUUUAAAAAAAAAUACCAUCUUGCAAUUCAGCACACAUCUGCAGCUGGUGUGCUCAUCCAAACCAAUCAGUAGGCUAAGAGAAUUUAAAAUUCCAAGCAUAUGGUUCUAGAUAUUAAUGCCGAUUACACAGUACAGAGGGAGGUCCCUAUAUUCACACACACACACACACACACACCAUCCAGCAUUUACACCGAAAGCCUUACCCUUUAAACACCUUUAACUAUCCUGCAAACAGUAAAUGCAUCAUUGGCCACCACCUCCAAUAGUUUGUCUUUUUUUCUUCUUCUUCUUAUUUUUUAUUGGUCUCUUUGUGUGAUAAUGACCUACACAUGGACAGGGUCCAAACCAUCUGGAAGAUGUCUGAUUCCAGGCUGAAAAUCAGUUCUCAACAAAACUGGUCUUCUGUAGCCACCACAAAGCACCAGGAAAAGGGCAUCUCCGCUGCCAUCCCCAGCCAAGCCAGCACAGCACUCCGUGCCCGCUGCACGGUCCCAGGCAGUCCUCCGAUGACCCAAACCACCCCUUCCUUUGGGCCCAGAGAGCAGGACAAAUGAAAUUUCAACAGGGGCCUGCCCUGUGACCGAAAAUUACCCAGCUUCACAGCCCCCGAAUGCAAGGAGAGGUGGUACCCCCAGAGCCAACAUGCCCCCUGUAGGUGGGUACGCCCAGGGUUCUGGGAAAUGCAUACCUCAGGUAACUCAGGUGCGAUCCCCCCAGUGGGGGCGGGGAAGCCUGAAC